This 405-nucleotide ribosomal RNA is filed under the name bacterium. RNAcentral's name for it is "partial 16S ribosomal RNA". It matches the Rfam family "Bacterial small subunit ribosomal RNA", at positions 355 to 776 of the family's 1533-position model. The record is from RNAcentral.
UAAGGAAUAUUGCGCAAUGGGGGAAACCCUGACGCAGCAACGCCGCGUGGAGGAUGACACUUUUCGGAGCUUAAACUCCUUUUAUCAGGAAAGAAUAAUGACGGUACCUGAUGAAUAAGCACCGGCUAACUCCGUGCCAGCAGCCGCGGUAAUACGGGGGGUGCAAGCGUUACUCGGAAUCACUGGGCGUAAAGGACGCGUAGGCGGAUUAUCAAGUCUUUUGUGAAAUCUAGUGGCUUAACCACUAAACUGCUUAGGAAACUGAUAGUCUAGAGUAGGGGAGAGGUAGAUGGAAUUCUUGGUGUAGGGGUAAAAUCCGUAGAGAUCAAGAAGAAUACCCAUUGCGAAAGCGAUCUGCUGGAACCUAACUGACGCUGAGGCGUGAAAGCGUGGGUAGCAAACAGG